AGCGAACGUUAGCGGCGGGCCUAACACAUGCAAGUCGAGCGCGAAAGGUCUUCGGACUGAGUAGAGUGGCGCACGGGUGAGUAACACGUAGGUAAUCUACCCUUUGGCGGGGGAUAACGUUCCGAAAGGAGCGCUAAUACCGCAUAAGACCACGUGGUCUCCGGACCGAGUGGGAAAAGGUGGCCUCUUCUUGAAAGCUACCACCGAAGGAUGAGCCUGCGUCCCAUCAGCUAGUUGGUAAGGUAAUGGCUUACCAAGGCAAAGACGGGUAGCUGGUUUGAGAGAAUGAUCAGCCACACUGGCACUGGAACACGGGCCAGACUCCUACGGGAGGCAGCAGUGAGGAAUAUUGGGCAAUGGGCGAAAGCCUGACCCAGCCACGCCGCGUGAGUGAUGAAGGCCCUCGGGUCGUAAAGCUCUGUGGAGAGGGACGAAAACCCUGGUUCAAAUAGGCUCCAGGCUUGACGGUACCUCUUUAGCAAGCACCGGCUAACUCUG
This 498-nucleotide ribosomal RNA is filed under the name uncultured bacterium. Its description in RNAcentral is "bacterial SSU rRNA". It matches the Rfam family "Bacterial small subunit ribosomal RNA", at positions 29 to 505 of the family's 1533-position model. The record is from RNAcentral.